Molecule: ribosomal RNA, 559 nt
Filed under: Trigonopterus sp. 427 MB-2015
Lineage: Eukaryota; Metazoa; Arthropoda; Insecta; Coleoptera; Curculionidae
Description: SSU rRNA
Rfam family: Eukaryotic small subunit ribosomal RNA
Source: RNAcentral
GUCAUAUGCUUGUCUCAAAGAUUAAGCCAUGCAUGUCUCAGUACAAGCCAAAUUAAGGUGAAACCGCGAAAGGCUCAUUAAAUCAGUUAUGGUUCCUUAGAUCGUACCCACAAUUACUUGGAUAACUGUGGUAAUUCUAGAGCUAAUACAUGCAAACAGAGCUCCGACCGGAGACGGGAGGAGUGCUUUUAUUAGAUCAAAACCAAUCGGUGGCGGGUUCGCUCGUUAUCGUACAACUUGGUGACUCUGAAUAACUUUACGCUGAUCGCACGGUCAUCGCACCGGCGACGCAUCUUUCAAAUGUCUGCCUUAUCAACUGUCGAUGGUAGGUUCUGCGCCUACCAUGGUUGUAACGGGUAACGGGGAAUCAGGGUUCGAUUCCGGAGAGGGAGCCUGAGAAACGGCUACCACAUCCAAGGAAGGCAGCAGGCGCGCAAAUUACCCACUCCCGGCACGGGGAGGUAGUGACGAAAAAUAACGAUACGGGACUCAUCCGAGGCCCCGUAAUCGGAAUGAGUACACUCUAAACCCUUUAACGAGGAUCAAUUGGAGGGCAAGU